GGAGGAUCCAAGCGUUAUCCGGAAUCAUUGGRUUUAAAGGGUCCGUAGGCGGUUUGAUAAGUCAGURGUGAAAGCCCAUNGCUCAACSAUGGAACGGCCAUUGAUACUGUCAGACUUGAAUUAUUGGGAAGUAACUAGGAAUAUGUAGUGUAGCGGUGAAAUGCUUAGAUAUUACAUGGGAAUACCAAUUGCGAAGGCAGGUUACUACCAAUGGAUUGACGCUGAUGRACGAAAGCGUGGGGAGCRAACAGGAUUAGAUACCCUGGUAGUCCACGCCGUAAACGAUGGAUACUAGCUGUUCGGAGCAAUCUGAGUGGCUAAGCGAAAGUGAUAAGUAUCCCACCUGGGGAGUACGUUCGCAAGAAUGAAAC
Molecule: ribosomal RNA, 371 nt
Filed under: uncultured Flavobacterium sp.
Lineage: Bacteria; Pseudomonadati; Bacteroidota; Flavobacteriia; Flavobacteriales; Flavobacteriaceae
Description: bacterial SSU rRNA
Rfam family: Bacterial small subunit ribosomal RNA
Source: RNAcentral